This 382-nucleotide unclassified non-coding RNA is filed under the name uncultured Actinomycetes bacterium. Its description in RNAcentral is "uncultured actinobacterium contains 16S-23S intergenic spacer region". The record is from RNAcentral. Lineage: Bacteria; Bacillati; Actinomycetota; Actinomycetes.
UCCGAGUUGACCCCGGCAGUCUCCUAUGAGUCCCCACCAUCCCGAAGGACGUGCUGGCAACAUAGAACGAGGGUUGCGCUCGUUGCGGGACUUAACCCAACAUCUCACGACACGAGCUGACGACAGCCAUGCACCACCUGUAUACCGACCACAAGGGGGGCAGUAUCUCUACGGCUUUCCGGUAUAUGUCAAACCCAGGUAAGGUUCUUCGCGUUGCAUCGAAUUAAUCCACAUGCUCCGCCGCUUGUGCGGGUCCCCGUCAAUUCCUUUGAGUUUUAGCCUUGCGGCCGUACUCCCCAGGCGGUCAACUUCACGCGUUAGCUUCGUUACCAAGGAAUUACUUCCCCAACAACCAGUUGACAUCGUUUAGGGCGUGGACUAC